This 492-nucleotide ribosomal RNA is filed under the name uncultured bacterium. RNAcentral's name for it is "partial 16S ribosomal RNA". It matches the Rfam family "Bacterial small subunit ribosomal RNA", at positions 29 to 507 of the family's 1533-position model. The record is from RNAcentral.
AGUGAACGCUGGCGGUAGGCCUAACGCAUGCAAGUCGAACGGCAGCACAGUAAGAGCUUGCUCUUACGGGUGGCGAGUGGCGGACGGGUGAGGAAUACAUCGGAAUCUACUUUUUCGUGGGGGAUAACGUAGGGAAACUUACGCUAAUACCGCAUACGACCUACGGGUGAAAGCAGGGGAACUUCGGACCUUGCGCGAUUGAAUGAGCCGAUGUCGGAUUAGCUAGUUGGCGGGGUAAAGGCCCACCAAGGCGACGAUCCGUAGCUGGUCUGAGAGGAUGAUCGGCCACACUGGAACUGAGACACGGUCCAGACUCCUACGGGAGGCAGCAGUGUGGAAUAUUGGACAAUGGGCGCAAGCCUGAUCCAGCCAUACCGCGUGGGUGAAGAAGGCCUUCGGGUUGUAAAGCCCUUUUGUUGGUAAAGAAAAGCAGCAGGUUAAUACCCCGCUGUUCUGACGGUACCCAAAGAAUAAGCACCGGCUAACUUCGUG